Molecule: transfer RNA, 142 nt
Filed under: Verrucomicrobiia bacterium
Lineage: Bacteria; Pseudomonadati; Verrucomicrobiota; Verrucomicrobiia
Description: tRNA-OTHER
Rfam family: tRNA
About the family: Transfer RNA (tRNA) molecules are approximately 80 nucleotides in length. Their secondary structure includes four short double-helical elements and three loops (D, anti-codon, and T loops).
Source: RNAcentral
GGCGGGGUAGCUCAGUUGGAUAGAGCUCUGGAAACGUCUUCAGCCACCCUUGUCGCGGAAUCUCCACUUCAACCCGGCGAAUGCCGGUGGAACUACAUCAUUGUUACUGACCAGGUCGCCGGUUCGAGUCCGGCCCCCGCUC